This 1203-nucleotide ribosomal RNA is filed under the name Triticum aestivum (bread wheat). RNAcentral describes it as "partial small subunit ribosomal RNA". Lineage: Eukaryota; Viridiplantae; Streptophyta; Magnoliopsida; Poales; Poaceae. The record is from RNAcentral.
AUGAGUGACAAACUUGCUAUUUUUAACUGGAAUGUGAGAGGGCUGAAUGAUCGGGCCAGACGAGGUACUGCCCGCACGCUCAUUGAACGCAUUGCCUGUUCGAUUGUAUGCCUGCAGGAAGCGAAACUUUCGUCUUGCUCGGCUACCAAUCGCCUGGAAAUUGUAGGCCCACGUUUUGAUCACCAUGCGGCCCUCGACACCGAUGGAACGCGCGGUGGCAUCCUGCUGUGUUGGAGCUCCACUGAUUACGCGGCUAGUAGGCUGGACGUGAGAACAUACACUGUUACGGCAACCUUCUCUCCCACGGAUGGCGGGCACGAUUGGUCCGUGACAACGGUAUAUGGCCCACAUGAUGACCAGCGUAAGAACAAGUUCCUCGUAGAGCUUGCCGCAAUUCACAAUACCAUGAUGGGCCCGUGGCUCCUCAUUGGGGAUUUCAACCUCAUUACAAACCCACAAGACAAGAACAACUCGAGAGUUUGCCGGCGUUGGAUGAACAAGUUUAGACGAACCCUGAACUCCUCGAGCCUCCAUGAAAUACCUCUAAUUGGGCGCAGAUUCACUUGGAGCAACGAGCAAGCCACCCCUACCCUAGUGCGCCUCGAUCGGGCCUUCUGCAAUAUUGAUUGGGAAUUGAUCUUCCCUAUGGCCAAGCUCCUCCCGCAAUCUUCUGCCAUAUCCGACCACUGCCCGCUUCUAUUAAUCAACGACAGCAUCAUCAAGACAAACAAGCGCUUCCGCUUCGAAUCGUACUGGCAAUUUAUUGUGGGGUUCAGAGAGGUGGUGGACCAAUCGUGGGCUUUGGACGUUGGAUCUUCUUGCCCACUGUCUCGCCUGAAUAACAAGUUGUGGCGGCUCAGCAAAGCUUUAAAAGAGUGGAGUAAGAACAUUGUGGGGGACAUUCAGAAGCAAUUCGCGCUGGUAAACGAGCUGAUUCUGCAGCUAGACAAAGCGCAAGAUCUGCGGGGCCUAACCACGGAAGAGAGCAGUCUACGCGCAAAGCUUAAAUCCCGCACUUUGGGACUAGCUGUUCUGAUCGAGAUCAAGCGGCGACGGAGAAGCAGAGUCCUCUGGCUAAAAGCAGGCGACGCCAAUACAAAAUUCUUUCAGAGGAAAGCUAACGCGCGCCACAAGAGAAACACCAUCCAUGUGUUGCAUGGUCCACAGGGCCCAGUCUCAUCGACGGAAGACAUGACAAACCUG